RNAcentral lists this long non-coding RNA (629 nucleotides) under Sus scrofa (pig). RNAcentral describes it as "lncRNA (ENSSSCG00015027059.1)". The record is from RNAcentral. Lineage: Eukaryota; Metazoa; Chordata; Mammalia; Artiodactyla; Suidae.
CCUCACAGCCUGUGUUCAAGGGUGCAAGGAUGACAGGGAGUGGAAAGGGCCGGGAAAGGGUGGCUUGGCCUGGGCUGAACAUUUUUUUUCACCUCCAGGCUUAGAGUCAGACUCCCCCGUGGGUCAGGUCUGGGGGCGUGAACUGGUCCUCGGGUUAUCAGGUAACCUGUUUGGCCUCCCAGAACCAGGAUAUCAGCCAUGUCUACAGCCAGCCAUACAUGGCAUUAUUGAAGAGCAAGGAUGAUGGGACACACACACACACACACACAUCCCUCCAAACAACGGCUUGGUGGAGACCAGCCACAGAGGCUCCAGAGUCGCUCCCAGUCAGGAUCAAGUGGAAAGGUCCUGCGAGGGGCCUGGCGAGAGGCAGCACGGCUGAUUCCAAAAUAGUCCCCGCACGGACUUUGGCCGGGACGAAGAUAGGCAGGCUUAGAGAGGAGGAUGGAGAGGAGGAUGAAGCCCAAGAGGACGGCAAGCUCCUCCCUGCCCCGGGAUCUGAGUCCAGACACCGUCUGGAGGCUACAGCUGCGGUGGAAGUGAAGGAACAAGUCUCUGUUGACAUGUCUGCCUUUCUGGAGCCUCCAAUGGAAAGUUUUAUGAAAAGUAAGAUAGAAGAGAGUUCAUGA